GAUGAAGAACGCAGCGAAAUGCGAUAAGUAAUGUGAAUUGCAGAAUUCAGUGAAUCAUCGAAUCUUUGAACGCACAUUGCGCCCGCCAGUAUUCUGGCGGGCAUGCCUGUUCGAGCGUCAUUACAACCCUCAGGCCCCCGGGCCUGGCGUUGGGGAUCGGCGGAAGCCCCCUGCGGGCACAACGCCGUCCCCCAAAUACAGUGGCGGUCCCGCCGCAGCUUCCAUUGCGUAGUAGCUAACACCUCGCAACUGGAGAGCGGCGCGGCCACGCCGUAAAACACCCAACUUCUGAAUGUUGACCUCGAAUCAGGUAGGAAUACCCUCUGAACUUAAGCAUAUCAAUAAGCGGAGGA
RNAcentral lists this unclassified non-coding RNA (353 nucleotides) under soil metagenome. RNAcentral describes it as "partial contains 5.8S ribosomal RNA, internal transcribed spacer 2, and large subunit ribosomal RNA". The stretch from base 1 to 120 matches the Rfam family "5.8S ribosomal RNA", at positions 35 to 154 of the family's 154-position model. The record is from RNAcentral.